GGGCCAGCGAAGGUACCCCCAGGGGUACAUGUACCCCAGAUUGAGAACCGCUGCUGUAGAGAACUGAUGGAUACAAGAAAAGAAGGCUUGUAAAAGAUUGUUCGAUCAGGUGGGAAAUGAUAUGUGGAUCCUUUGAAGACUGCGUGGGUGACCUCAUCCAGCUAUGGAUUGAGUAGAAUGGAGACAUCUUAGGGUGAAGCCAAAGUAAACGCGACGGUGCUAUGCGACGCGACAGUGUAGUUCAUUGAUAAUUAUUGCUAUUCUUUUACGUCGCGUCGCAUCGCACGUCGCGUUUUCUCUGGCGGGCACCUAAGGCUUCUUGGGCUUAAGAUUGACAAUAAUUAAAUGAACAAAAAAUCUUUAUUCUAGGGAGAUAAGGGGGAAAACGAAGUUGGAUUGGUUAUCCACAAUCAUCUGCGAAAUAAAAAAUAGGGUUAGAAAAAAGAGUUUUGAAUGGCGGGCGUUGGGUCAUACUGCAAUAAUGGUAUACAUUAUCUUAUAAAACUGAACGAUCAUCUGCACAAUACUUCCUUUUAGGCAACAAUCUAGUCAUUAGACAUUCUACCGUUCUAUAAUUGUAGUUUUUUUUUCCUAUUUCUAUCCAUAUUACACAUUACAGUACUUUGGUUUCCAGUCAAGUAAACUAGGUAUUAUAUCGUCUCCGAAACGGUAAUCGGUAGUCAUUCAAACGCAAAUGCACUUAUAGUCAUAAAUAUAUUCUAGCAAAACGUUUAGAUACCCGUUUAUGAAAUACACACAAACAGUAAAAAAACUAGAACACUUCCAUCCGACUGCAACUUGAGUUACAAAAGUGAUUCGAUUCCAGUAUGGUUCACGUAUUAUAGUGAAUCUUAUCUCAGCAUAGGUUUUUCGUUCCAUAAGUUUUAAUGUAGGACUGUACGAUUGCAAGAAAAAAAAACAUAACUGCGCAAAGGUUGGAUUGUUGUGUUAAGGGUAGUUAUAAGAAUUUCGGCAAAUGAUUAUAAAGUAUCCAAACUGUUAUGAAAUCAUAGAA
Molecule: long non-coding RNA, 1015 nt
Organism: Armigeres subalbatus
Lineage: Eukaryota; Metazoa; Arthropoda; Insecta; Diptera; Culicidae
Exons: 2
Source: RefSeq, a predicted model, not a curated record